RNAcentral lists this long non-coding RNA (394 nucleotides) under Setaria viridis. RNAcentral describes it as "long non-coding RNA (SVIR_LNC005900)". The record is from RNAcentral. Lineage: Eukaryota; Viridiplantae; Streptophyta; Magnoliopsida; Poales; Poaceae.
CGGAGGCGCGUCGGCGGAGGGGGCGCGGUGAGGGAAGGGAGCGUCGGAGGGGGUGCGGUGAGGGAAGGGAGCGGCGGAGGCGCGUCGGCGGAGGGAGCGGCGGAGGGGGCGAGAUCCAGACGGGAGUGGAUGAGAAACGGGAGUGGCGGCGCGCGUGCGGGAGUGGGAGGAGAGAGGAUGGGUGCGGGGUACCGGUGGAAAAAUGGAUGAGAGGGACCACUUUUAGCACUUCUAGUCCAUUUUAGCACCUCUUGAAGGGCUAAUGGAUUAUGGGGGGCUAAAAUUUAGCCCCUCCAUUUUAGCCUAGGUGUUUGAGAGGAGGAGGGGCUAAAAGUGACUAAAAUGAGGGUGCUAAAAUUUAGCACCCCCCUCCCAAACACCCCCUUAAUUUGGU